UUUUUCUCCUUCGCACCUUACAAAAUAUGCUCACAGGCUUAAAAUUCACUCAAAUAAGGUACAGCCUAUUUGAGACAGGAGACAACCUACGACAUAGGGUAAUGCUCAACCAACGUGACCAAGUAGGCCCAAAAGCAGCCAUCUUUAAAAAAGCGUUAAAGCUUUACCACGCCCAAUUGUUAAUUCCAACCCACCCCCAAAGCCCAUCACUCGUACUGAAUGACUCUAUACUUUUAUAGAAGCCCUCAUGCUAGAACUAGUAACAAGAAUAUCUAUUCUCCCACAAAUGUAAGUGUAAGCCAAUAUGGACCCACCACCGGCACUCACCGCCAAUGAAUUAACAGUAACAACUUCCACAAGAAAAACCUACUUCACCCAGCGUUAACCUUACACAAGAACUUUUCUGGAAAGAUUAAAAAAAGAGGAAG
This 428-nucleotide ribosomal RNA is filed under the name Hylophorbus sp. LAO-2013b. Its description in RNAcentral is "partial 16S ribosomal RNA". Lineage: Eukaryota; Metazoa; Chordata; Amphibia; Anura; Microhylidae. The record is from RNAcentral.